Molecule: ribosomal RNA, 432 nt
Filed under: uncultured bacterium
Lineage: Bacteria
Description: partial 16S ribosomal RNA
Rfam family: Bacterial small subunit ribosomal RNA
Source: RNAcentral
ACGAACGCUGGCGGCAUGCCUAACCCAUGCCAGUCGAACGAUGCCUUCGGGCAUAGUGGCGCACGGGUGCGUAACGCGUGGGAAUCUGCCUUUCGGUUCGGAAUAACUCAGGGAAACUUGAGCUAAUACCGGAUAACGUCGCAAGACCAAAGAUUUAUCACCGAAAGAUGAGCCCGCGUAGGAUUAGCUAGUUGGUGAGGUAAAGGCUCACCAAGGCGACGAUCCUUAGCUGGUCUGAGAGGAUGAUCAGCCACACUGGGACUGAGACACGGCCCAGACUCCUACGGGAGGCAGCAGUGGGGAAUAUUGGACAAUGGGCGAAAGCCUGAUCCAGCAAUGCCGCGUGAGUGAUGAAGGCCUUAGGGUUGUAAAGCUCUUUUACCCGGGAAGAUAAUGACGGUACCGGGAGAAUAAGCCCCGGCUAACUCCGUG